AUUUUAUAAAAGGGAUUAGCAUAGAAUAAAUAAAAUAAACAUAAACCCCUUUUUUUAUCUUUCUUCUAUCAAGGAAACAGAGCACUCUGUUUUCCUUGAAUCUUCUCCCGUGGCCUCUCCUCCUUCGUCGCACGGCUAAGAGGAAAGAUCGGAAGAGGGAGCUUUGCUGGUAGAUCCUCCCGUGGCCUCUUCCUCCUUCCUCCCUCUCUCGCUCGAACUUGGAUGGAUCCGUCCGGCUAGCUGGUUUGUUCCGUCCGGCUGGGAAUAAUGCCGAUAGAUCCUCCUCCUCUUCUUCUCCCGUGUAGGAAUGAAUCCCCUCCUCCCCUUCUUUCCGUCGGCUGCUGCUCCUCUUAUAGCAUGUUCUUGAGAUGCGGGAUGAAGUUGAAUCGCUUGAGACUCUUCAGCUGGGAACGUUGCAGAAAUUUGAGAAUUGAUGAGCCACGGGGUGGAAUGAUCCG
This 458-nucleotide long non-coding RNA is filed under the name Phoenix dactylifera (date palm). Its description in RNAcentral is "long non-coding RNA (PDAC_LNC022803)". Lineage: Eukaryota; Viridiplantae; Streptophyta; Magnoliopsida; Arecales; Arecaceae. The record is from RNAcentral.